RNAcentral lists this transfer RNA (72 nucleotides) under Ornithorhynchus anatinus (platypus). It matches the Rfam family "tRNA". Rfam says of the family: Transfer RNA (tRNA) molecules are approximately 80 nucleotides in length. Their secondary structure includes four short double-helical elements and three loops (D, anti-codon, and T loops). Lineage: Eukaryota; Metazoa; Chordata; Mammalia; Monotremata; Ornithorhynchidae. The record is from Rfam by way of RNAcentral.
AGCAGCGUGGCUCAGUGGAAAGAGCCCGGGCUUGGGAGUCAGAGGUCAUGGAUUCGAAUCCCGUCUCUGCCA